RNAcentral lists this ribosomal RNA (447 nucleotides) under uncultured bacterium. RNAcentral's name for it is "bacterial SSU rRNA". It matches the Rfam family "Bacterial small subunit ribosomal RNA", at positions 355 to 825 of the family's 1533-position model. The record is from RNAcentral.
UCGGGAAUUUUGGGCAAUGGGCGAAAGCCUGACCCAGCAACGCCGCGUGAAGGAUGAAGUAUUUCGGUAUGUAAACUUCGAAAGAAUAGGAAGAAUAAAUGACGGUACUAUUUAUAAGGUCCGGCUAACUACGUGCCAGCAGCCGCGGUAAUACGUAGGGACCAAGCGUUGUUCGGAUUUACUGGGCGUAAAGGGCGCGUAGGCGGCUUGACAAGUCACUUGUGAAAUCUCUGGGCUUAACCCAGAACGGCCAAGUGAAACUGUCAUGCUAGAGUGCAGAAGGGGCAAUCGGAAUUCUUGGUGUAGCGGUGAAAUGCGUAGAUAUCAAGAGGAACACCUGAGGUGAAGACGGGUUGCUGGGCUGACACUGACGCUGAGGCGCGAAAGCCAGGGGAGCAAACGGGAUUAGAUACCCAGGUAGUCCCUGAGCGGGCUGGCAAGGCGCAU